GGGGUAACCUAACCCCCGGGGGAACUCGGGAUAGCCUUCCUAACGGAGGGGUAAUAACCGGGCGGAUCUGGCCGGAGGACAUCCUGUGGCCAGGAUAGGAAUUUCGCCUCGGGAGGGGCUCACGUAGUAUUAGCUUGUUGGCGGGGUAACGGCCCACCAAGGCCAAGAUGCUUAGCGGGUGUGAGAGCACGACCCGCGCCACUGGCACUGAGACACUGGCCAG
RNAcentral lists this ribosomal RNA (223 nucleotides) under uncultured bacterium. Its description in RNAcentral is "partial 16S ribosomal RNA". It matches the Rfam family "Bacterial small subunit ribosomal RNA", at positions 118 to 334 of the family's 1533-position model. The record is from RNAcentral.